GCCAGAGGAGUGACAGGUGUAGAUGGGUGGGCCGGGGUUGUGGAAGGAGUGCUCCAGGCAAGAGGAAUAGCAGAUACAAAGGCUUCCGGACUGGCGUUUGCUUUCAGUGAAUAUGAUCAGUGACAGGGAUCCUGAAAGGAGAGCACAAUAAAGCUCUGCAGAAGCCUCCAUCUGCCAAAAUAAGCUCUGGGAGAAGCCAGGUGCCAUGUUGUGAGGACACUGGAGCACCCCUAAGGAGGCCUGUGUUGUGGGAACUGAGGCCUCCUGCCAUCAGCCAGCACCCACUUGCCAGCCAUGUGAAUAAACCAUCUUGGAAGUGGAUCCUCCAGCCCAUUAUGUCCUCAAAUGACAGCAAAUUCAUGAACGACUGUGAGCCAGAACCACCCAGCUAAGUCACUACCAAAUUCUUGACCCACAGAGACUGAGAUAAUACAUAAUAUUUAUUAUUGUUUUAAGCUACUAGGUUUUGGGGGCAUUUUUUACCUAACAAUAGGCAACUAAUAUGGUAGAUGUGUUUU
RNAcentral lists this long non-coding RNA (518 nucleotides) under Equus caballus (horse). RNAcentral describes it as "lncRNA (ENSECAG00000047077.1)". Lineage: Eukaryota; Metazoa; Chordata; Mammalia; Perissodactyla; Equidae. The record is from RNAcentral.